CCUCUAUCCAGGUCCAACCUCGUCCGGGAAAUGGAGAACAUGAGAACGAGGGGAAGAACCUCGCAAGGCACUGACCGCGUCUGCGUUCCCUGCCAUGUCCCUUGAGCCACUAGAGAGGGGGAAAAAAGAAACACAAAAUUCGACCUUGAAGAUUUUGACAAUGCCAAAGAAAUUAGUUUUUAUUUUUUUUAGAAGAAACAUCUAUUCUUUAUAGACAAGCAUGCCUUAAAAAGACAUGAAUGUAAAAUAACCAUUCCAAAUGAUGCAUCAUUAGAAAGCAUCAGAAACAAAUCUAGCACAUAUGGAACUAGCAGGUGCCUUCCCCAGCAGCCUGGCACUUCAGGAAUGAGAGAAGAAAGUCAAUCUUUUGUGCAUCAAUGACAAAGCAGCGGAGCGUGUUAUAAACAGUGAACAGGUGUGUUUCCUCUUUAGA
This 433-nucleotide long non-coding RNA is filed under the name Chinchilla lanigera (long-tailed chinchilla). RNAcentral's name for it is "lncRNA (ENSCLAG00000025254.1)". The record is from RNAcentral. Lineage: Eukaryota; Metazoa; Chordata; Mammalia; Rodentia; Chinchillidae.